This is a long non-coding RNA of Brachypodium distachyon (stiff brome), 1101 nucleotides long. RefSeq lists it as uncharacterized. The record is from RefSeq and is a predicted model, not a curated record. The transcript has 2 exons. NCBI's taxonomy places the organism in Eukaryota, Viridiplantae, Streptophyta, Magnoliopsida, Poales, Poaceae.
UUUAAACAGUCUCUUCUGCUAUACUGUGGGGAGUGGGGAGGUAUAGGAAUGAUUUUGUGUUUAACCACUCAUUCUUCCUUGUUACAAGGAGUGGAAAGUUCUUUACAAAUUACAAGGAACUAGAGGGAGAAAAACCGGAGCUCUUUAGCAGAAGGAUCAUGCAAAAGCUAAGAAGUUCUUUCCAACAAAGAUGGUGCUAAACAGAUUCGCUCGUGGAGGUUAGCUCCUGUCAUCAGUUGGUGCAUCAACGGAGCGAACAAGCACAUCUGAUGGGGCGGCUGCAACAAGCUUGCUGUCGUUGAAUGCACUGGGUGGUUUCAUAAGCAAUCUGGAUGUGUGAUGUCAAAAAAUGGCUCGGUCUGUCGUUUUUGUUCGAAUUUUAGUACGUAGUAGUAUUUCUUUUCUUUCUCUAGCCUUACAUUUGUUUUUAAACAUCGUUGUGAUGUAGAACCUUUGGAAGCACGGUCCCACUCCCUUUGGGAGGAUGGAUGUUAUGGUUGUCGUUGAGGUGUUUUCCCUCCCUGAUGAUAAAAAGGAAAACUGUCUGGCAAUUUCAUUGGUCCGCUACAUCCAUACUGUUGGAAUAUUGCCGUAUUUCUUUUCUCACAGAAAUGGCAAAAAGAACACAGGCUCUUUUCACGGGUUUGCUUCUUACAAAACACAGCUGGUCACAUUCCGGUCUGAAUUUAAAAAACAAUACAGCAUCCGAAGCAACGAAAAUGGCCAUGGCAGCUUGACAAGAUGGACACGAAAGCAAGCCCACGUGUAGUCGUGUUGCAAGAUUUACUACUUCCUACGAUGACAUCCUCGUGUGUAGUCGUGUUGCAAGAUUUACUGCUCCCUCGCUUUGAACUAAAACUAGUUCAAAACCGCACCAAUCUCUGUGAAACGGAGGGAGUACUUCCUAACGAUGACAUCUGAAUAAACGAGACAGAUAAAAGAUGGAUCCUCUAAUUACUUAAGCACAUUUUAUGUAAUCUAUCUCAAGAUUUUCAUAAAAUAUGUUUAAGUAAUUAUGAUGAAUUCCAUCUUACAUUUGAUCUGUUAUGUCAGAUGUAAUGAUUAAUAUUUAAAUGUAAUCAUUACUGGUUUUGUGUAUUA